RNAcentral lists this transfer RNA (84 nucleotides) under Aequorivita sp. CIP111184. Its description in RNAcentral is "tRNA-Leu". It matches the Rfam family "tRNA". From Rfam's summary of the family: Transfer RNA (tRNA) molecules are approximately 80 nucleotides in length. Their secondary structure includes four short double-helical elements and three loops (D, anti-codon, and T loops). Lineage: Bacteria; Pseudomonadati; Bacteroidota; Flavobacteriia; Flavobacteriales; Flavobacteriaceae. The record is from RNAcentral.
ACCCGGGUGCUGGAAUUGGUAGACAGGCAUGGUUGAGGGCCAUGUGUCCUUAGGGCGUGUGGGUUCAAGUCCCAUUCCGGGUAC